RNAcentral lists this ribosomal RNA (424 nucleotides) under uncultured bacterium. RNAcentral describes it as "bacterial SSU rRNA". It matches the Rfam family "Bacterial small subunit ribosomal RNA", at positions 207 to 622 of the family's 1533-position model. The record is from RNAcentral.
CAAGACCUUGCGCUUUAGGAGCGGCCGAUGUCGGAUUAGCUAGUUGGUGGGGUAAAGGCUCACCAAGGCGACGAUCCGUAGCGGGUCUGAGAGGAUGAUCCGCCACACUGGGACUGAGACACGGCCCAGACUCCUACGGGAGGCAGCAGUGGGGAAUUUUGGACAAUGGGCGAAAGCCUGAUCCAGCCAUGCCGCGUGAGUGAAGAAGGCCUUCGGGUUGUAAAGCUCUUUCGGCGGGGAAGAAAUCGCAUUCUCUAAUACAGGAUGUGGAUGACGGUACCCGAAUAAGAAGCACCGGCUAACUACGUGCCAGCAGCCGCGGUAAUACGUAGGGUGCGUGCGUUAAUCGGAAUUACUGGGCGUAAAGCGUGCGCAGGCGGUUUCGUAAGACAGACGUGAAAUCCCCGGGCUCAACCUGGGAACU